This 391-nucleotide unclassified non-coding RNA is filed under the name soil metagenome. RNAcentral's name for it is "partial contains 5.8S ribosomal RNA, internal transcribed spacer 2, and large subunit ribosomal RNA". The stretch from base 1 to 122 matches the Rfam family "5.8S ribosomal RNA", at positions 35 to 154 of the family's 154-position model. The record is from RNAcentral.
GAUGAAGAACACAGCGAAAUGCGAUACUUGGUGUGAAUUGCAGAAUCCCGUGAACCAUCGAGUCUUUGAACGCAAGUUGCGCCCGAAGCCAUUAGGCCGAGGGCACGCCUGCCUGGGCGUCACACGUCGUUGCCCCCCCAUCUACUCCUUCGGGAUUGCGGGGGGCGGAUGAUGGCCUCCCGUGCGCCUCGUCGCGCGGUUGGCAUAAAUGCCAAGUCCUCGGCGACGCACGCCACGACAAUCGGUGGUUGCGAAACCUCGGUUGCCCGUCGUGUGCGGUCGUCGCGCAUCGAGGGCUCGAAAAAAUUGCCGGGCUCCGGCUCGGCUUUCAACGCGACCCCAGGUCAGGCGGGGUUACCCGCUGAAUUUAAGCAUAUCAAUAAGCGGAGGA